GCUUAGAAAGCUAAGGUGCUACGGGUAUACCGUAUGGCGAGGGAAUUCGGCAAAUUAGUCCUGUAGCUUAGGUAUAAGGGAUACCUGCUGUUUUAAUGAGGAAUUGGGACAGCAGGUUGCAAUGACUAGGGGGUUCCGACUGUUUAAUAAAAACACAGGCGACUGCUAGUCCGAAAGGAUUUGUAUAGUCGCUGAAUCCUGGCCGGUGCAGGUACCUAAAACUUGGGUUCAACCGAGCUAAGGGCCUGUUAACGCCGGGAGUAACUCUGACUCUCUUAAGGUAGCCAAAUGCCUUGUCGGGUAAGUUCCGACGCGCAUGAAUGGAACAACGAGAGCCCCACUGUCCCCGCCUACAACCCGGUGAAGCCACAUAAGGUGGACGAACAGUCCAUCAUCUUCCAUCGGGGAGAGAAGACCCCGUGGAGUUUUACUGCAGCUUGUGCUUGUAGUAUAGUACGGAUUACAUAGUGUAUCUGGUAGCCAUGCCUGAAUUUCUUUGGGAAUUCAGUGAAGCGACGAUGUAACACCAGAUUAUUCUUGCAGUACUUCUUAUCUGAUGCAAAUCAGAAACAGGUGCAGGUGGGCAGUUCGGCUGGGGCGGCACCCCUUUGAAAAGAUAUCAAAGGGGCCCAAAGUUUAGUUCAAACGGGUCAGAAAUCCGUUGAAGAGGGCAAAGCCAAAAACUAGACUGACAGGAUUUCCAAACGCACGGAAUUCUGAGACGAAAGUCUGGCUUAGCGAUCCUUCGUGUGCCCACUAUUGGGGCCCGGAGGUGACAGAAAAAUUACCCCAGGGAUAACAGGCUCGUCGCGGGCGAGAGCUCCUAUCGACCCCGCGGUUUGGUACCUCGAUGUCGGCUUUUCCUAUCCUGGUCCUGCAGCAGGGGCCAAGGGUGAGGCUGCUCGCCUAUUAAAAGGGAACAUGAGCUGGGUUUAGACCGUCGUGAGACAGGUCGGUCUCUGCCUGAUGGAAGCGCGGCUGUCUGAGGGGAAGUUGCUCCGAGUACGAGAGGAACAGAGCAACGUGGCCACUGGUCUACCGGUUGUCUGAUAAGGCAGGCCGGGCAGCUAAGCCGUUUGGAUUAAGUGCUGAAAGCAUCUAAGCACGAAACCCAUCCCGAGACAAGACAGCCUUUCGUAAGAUGAAGGUUCGCAGAAGAAGACUGCGUUGAUA
This 1173-nucleotide ribosomal RNA is filed under the name marine metagenome. RNAcentral's name for it is "bacterial LSU rRNA". It matches the Rfam family "Archaeal large subunit ribosomal RNA", at positions 1766 to 2913 of the family's 2987-position model. The record is from RNAcentral.